Pelobates cultripes (western spadefoot toad) is the source of this 208-nucleotide non-coding RNA. The record is from the annotation of a GenBank genome assembly. Lineage: Eukaryota; Metazoa; Chordata; Amphibia; Anura; Pelobatidae.
CCCCAGACUAACUGAUGAGCUCUAAGUAGCACUAGAAGUCAUCACUACCUAAAACACCCUUAACCCAAUCAUAAACCAUAAACUCCGACCGAGUACCUCCACCCAAUCUGCUUCCUAGCACGCUUCAGUCCCAGUCACCGAAGCUUGACUGGGGUCUCUCCAGAACUCUUCCACCUGACCAGACUCUUCUUUCAGGCACGUAUUGUCC